RNAcentral lists this non-coding RNA (21 nucleotides) under Rattus norvegicus (Norway rat). Lineage: Eukaryota; Metazoa; Chordata; Mammalia; Rodentia; Muridae. The record is from RNAcentral.
CUGUAGGCACCUGUAGGCACC